Molecule: ribosomal RNA, 497 nt
Filed under: uncultured bacterium
Lineage: Bacteria
Description: partial 16S ribosomal RNA
Rfam family: Bacterial small subunit ribosomal RNA
Source: RNAcentral
GAUGAACGCUGGCGGCGUGCCUAAUACAUGCAAGUCGAGCGAACAGACGAGGAGCUUGCUUCUCUGACGUUAGCGGCGGACGGGUGAGUAACACGUGGAUAACCUACCUAUAAGACUGGGAUAACUUCGGGAAACCGGAGCUAAUACCGGAUAAUAUAUUGAACCGCAUGGUUCAAUAGUGAAAGACGGUUUUGCUGUCACUUAUAGAUGGAUCCGCGCCGCAUUAGCUAGUUGGUAAGGUAACGGCUUACCAAGGCAACGAUGCGUAGCCGACCUGAGAGGGUGAUCGGCCGCACUGGAACUGAGACACGGUCCAGACUCCUACGGGAGGCAGCAGUAGGGAACCUUCCGCAAUGGGCGAAAGCCUGACGGAGCAACGCCGCGUGAGUGAUGAAGGUCUUCGGAUCGUAAAACUCUGUUAUUAGGGAAGAACAAAUGUGUAAGUAACUAUGCACGUCUUGACGGUACCUAAUCAGAAAGCCACGGCUAACUACGUG